This 307-nucleotide unclassified non-coding RNA is filed under the name plant metagenome. RNAcentral describes it as "partial contains 5.8S ribosomal RNA, internal transcribed spacer 2, and large subunit ribosomal RNA". The stretch from base 1 to 105 matches the Rfam family "5.8S ribosomal RNA", at positions 50 to 154 of the family's 154-position model. The record is from RNAcentral.
GAAAUGCGAUAAGUAGUGUGAAUUGCAGAAUUCAGUGAAUCAUCGAAUCUUUGAACGCACAUUGCGCCCCUCGGUAUUCCGUGGGGCAUGCCUGUUCGAGCGUCAUCUACACCCUCAAGCUCUGCUUGGUGUUGGGCGUCUGUCCCGCCUCCGCGCGCGGACUCGCCCCAAAUGCAUUGGCAGCGGUUCCUUGCCCCCCUCUUUGCGCAGCACAUUGCCAUUCGAGGCGGCGGCGGCCCGCGUCCAACAAGCUCAACCCCCCCGUCUUUGACCUCGGAUCAAGUAGAGAUACCCGCUGAACAUAAGC